Molecule: transfer RNA, 86 nt
Filed under: Bdellovibrionales bacterium
Lineage: Bacteria; Pseudomonadati; Bdellovibrionota; Bdellovibrionia; Bdellovibrionales
Description: tRNA-Tyr
Rfam family: tRNA
About the family: Transfer RNA (tRNA) molecules are approximately 80 nucleotides in length.
Source: RNAcentral
GGAGAGAUACCCAAGUGGCCAAAGGGACCAGACUGUAAAUCUGGCGGCUUAUGCCUUCGAAAGUUCGAAUCUUUCUCUCUCCACCA